AUUAAGCCGGACGGAAGGUGGGGACGGACGUCAAGUCAGCAUGACCUUUAUAUCCAGGGCUACACACACGCUACAAUGGUCAGUACAAUGGGUUGCCAAGCCGCGAGGCGGAGCCAAUCCUAAAAAGCUGGCCUCAGUUCAGAUUGCAGUCUGAAACUCGACUGCAUGAAGUCGGAGUUGCUAGUAAACGCAGGUCAGCUAUACUGCGUUGAAUACGUUCCCGGGGCUU
RNAcentral lists this ribosomal RNA (229 nucleotides) under uncultured Anaerolineaceae bacterium. Its description in RNAcentral is "partial 16S ribosomal RNA". It matches the Rfam family "Bacterial small subunit ribosomal RNA", at positions 1157 to 1382 of the family's 1533-position model. The record is from RNAcentral. Lineage: Bacteria; Bacillati; Chloroflexota; Anaerolineae; Anaerolineales; Anaerolineaceae.